AGAAGGAAAGAGAGAUAAAGGAGGGUGAAGAGGAAGGAAUGAGAAAGGGAGGAAUAAGUGGAGGAGCAGGCAAGCCACAAUAGGUACUCUCACUCCACUUCCGAGUGGAGGUUCCUUGUGUGUGCGCGCGUGGCGUCGCGGUUAGUGAAGUGAUGCUGUGCGUUAGUUUAUCCUAUUGAGUGCGUCUUCCUCGCGUUGGAUUUGGUGAUUACCCGUAUCACAGGUCACACCGUGGGACUGUCACCGCUGGAGCAACCCUUCGGAAUAAAGUAAAGUACGUUAAUUACGGUUUGCUAGGCGUUAGGUGUUAGGCAUAGGGCGAUAGGCGGCGCGGCUAACCAUUCUCUUCCAGGUACAUGUUAAUUAUCUAGUCUUCCCCAGUAAUGCCUUGGUUAGCGCACCGUGGCGGCGAUCCAGGAGCAUCGUGCUGGUGGUGGUGGUGGUGGUGGCGUGGCUGGCUGGCUGUCUGUCUGUCUGUCUGUGGCGGGCGUGCACGUGCUAUCAUAUGGUAUGUGAAUGAUUGAGUUUCGUAGGGUUAGUGAAAUGAUGGCCCUUGACAUUGAUUCCUAAUGCUUGUGGCUUUAUUUAACUGUUUUCGGUGAGCAGUGACUGUGCGGCAGCAGGGGUGAGGAAGGGAGACGUGAGGGGCGGCCAGGUGGUGGUGGACAGUGACCGGCGCCACAGUGACAAGCCUACACGAACAUAGUGACAAUAGCCAUGAUAACAACGAAAAGAACAGCGUGUGUGUAGCCUCGGUAAACACGGACACAAGAUGGGUUAGGAUGUGUGUGUGUGUGGCUGGGGGUGAGUGGGUACCUACUGCUGGUGACGGCAGCAGCCAAGACCAGCCACAGUCUUCACCAGCAGCAAACGCUCAGGCGUGUAGAUGGGAGCAGGAGAAGAAAGAACAAAGGAAGAGGACGAAGAAGAAAG
Portunus trituberculatus (swimming crab) is the source of this 933-nucleotide long non-coding RNA. RefSeq lists it as uncharacterized. NCBI's taxonomy places the organism in Eukaryota, Metazoa, Arthropoda, Malacostraca, Decapoda, Portunidae. The transcript has 3 exons. The record is from RefSeq and is a predicted model, not a curated record.